This 64-nucleotide transfer RNA is filed under the name Cryptonema producta. RNAcentral describes it as "tRNA-Leu". The record is from RNAcentral. Lineage: Eukaryota; Metazoa; Mollusca; Bivalvia; Venerida; Veneridae.
GUUGAGGUGGCAGAAAAAUGCGUCGAGCUUAAGUUUCGGAGAUGAGAAUUAUUCUCUCUUGACA